This 252-nucleotide ribosomal RNA is filed under the name uncultured bacterium. Its description in RNAcentral is "partial 16S ribosomal RNA". It matches the Rfam family "Bacterial small subunit ribosomal RNA", at positions 524 to 776 of the family's 1533-position model. The record is from RNAcentral.
UACAGAGGGUGCAAGCGUUAAUCGGAAUUACUGGGCGUAAAGCGUGCGUAGACGGUAGCGUAAGUCGGGUGUGAAAGCCCCGGGCUCAACCUGGGAAUUGCAUUCGAGACUGCUCUGCUAGGGUGCGGAAGAGGGAAGCGGAGUUUCCGGUGUAGCGGUGAAAUGCGUAGAUAUCGGAAGGAACACCAGUGGCGAAAGCGGCUUCCUGGUCCAGCACCGACGUCAGGCACGAAAGCGUGGGGAGCAAACAGG